RNAcentral lists this ribosomal RNA (4113 nucleotides) under Triticum aestivum (bread wheat). RNAcentral describes it as "partial small subunit ribosomal RNA". The record is from RNAcentral. Lineage: Eukaryota; Viridiplantae; Streptophyta; Magnoliopsida; Poales; Poaceae.
UCUCCUUCUGUCCCCUCCCUGCUCUCUUCCAGGUAGUGCCCUCGGGCGAGUAGGUUCCAAACGACGCCGGCCUCAGCGGCCGGAGCUCUACGGGCCGCCGCUCCCGUUCUUAGGUCCCAGCGGUGCGCGUCUCCUCGUCCAAGGAAGGAUGGGGGGCUGGGGGAGGAGGGGUCGGGGGGCGGCGGCAUGGUUUAGGCCGGGCGUCGACACACGGCUCCAGUUUAGGGAGGCAAAUAUUGGAGUCUAAGCGGAGAUCGAAAGUGCUUAAAACACCAAUGCCACUGAUAGUACAUGACUCUCCAAACUUAGCGUUGUCUCUAAACGGUUUUAUCGUCCUACGGGUCCCCUAAUAAGGACACAAGACGCACCCCCGUGCCAACACACAAUCCGUGGUUUUAGUGGUAACAAUUAGGUGUACAAGUAAAAGCAGAUAUCCUCUAAAUCUAAAAAAAAAAGAACAAGUUUAGUCCGUAUCCAUCUACGCGGAUGAUACAUCGGUUAGCUACACCCAUAAAAAACCAAAAAGUCAAAACUAAGACACCCAUGUCUCGUAAGCUUUCAGUACGUCCUGUGUGUGAAACGACGUAUACACACAAGUUGUCGAACCCUUUGAGUCAUUGAAAAAAGAGAGUGAGGUACCCUACAUGUCUCAGUCUAUUUGUCAGGAAAAACCUUGAUAUUAGUUCAACCCCGCCAGAAGGAGAACUGUUUUAUUCUCUCUAUUAAACACCAUCAAGUUGUUUCAAACAAACAACAAGCAGUCAUAAACGCGGGUCAAAAAUAGGCAACUUACAAGUACUGAUGUCCCCUACACGUGUUUUAGAAGUCGUCAUCAAUAACAAACAAAGACAUAAAAACAUGGGAUUAGUAGUAAAAAGGAUACGUUUUCCUAUCUCACUUUAUGUGGGUGUCAUGGACAUGAGAGGCAUAUUUUAGUGAAACUUGUGACAUGAGACCGUUGACGUUUAAUGCCAGUAAUACGAUUGCAACGAACGAGUGGUAUGCCAGUGAACGCGGGCUUUGCAUGCAUAAACGUGUCGACCGUACGCUAAAAACGUCAAUGUGGGAGGGGAUAGGGAGAAGGGGAGAAGGGGAGGGGGAGGGUGGUAGUUUAGGGAUCGAGCAAGUCAGCAAGGGGUAAGUUGUAGCCGGCGCACCGAAGUAAGGUGAAGACGUGUCUCUCUUCUCUCCUUUCCCCCUCGCCUCUCUCGGGUCCGCUAGCGACAGCGCAACGAACAUGCGAUCCCAAAGGGCAGCGCCGCCGAUGGUACUGGCCGCCUCCACCAAGCAGCCGGCCUCGUUUUCUGCGGGAGCUGAGCGACCUACAACCUCCUUCGUCGUCGCUCGGUUUCGGGAAGGAGGUAGCUGGACUAGUACGCGCCUGCGGCCGUAUGCUCCUUAUGUUAAUACUAAUAGGCACGUCAGAUCCGUAUUUAGUACCACCAAAGAAACAACCGGUUCCAUCGAUGUCCUCAAUGACGUUACCUUUUUGACGAACCAUACUAAUACACGGCAGACGCUGUGACUGGUACAGACUUAACCUUUCCUAUCAACUUCUAGAUCCGAUACUCUACCGUCCAUCUAACCUACAUAUAACCACAAACGGUCCCAACGUUUAAUUCUGACCACCAGAAUCCUUUUACUUAAGGGUCCUUCGAACACUGUUAUAAUCACGAACACAUCAAAAACCUGUAUUUCUUUAAGUCAAUAAGGAACUGGUACUACUCUCGAUGUCCUCAUAGCUUACCCUACUACAACACCAGAAAGGACAGUUACUAAAUGGAGUACACUAGUCAGGAUCCUUUCAUUUUCUCCUCUUUAAACGUCUCUCUUACAGACUUGUUUUAUACCGUCUCCUCGUUCCACUACUGUUACGUCUCCUCCGACCCGUCUUGUACCUUCUCCCCGUUCCACUACUCGUUAAGUUACUCCUUCUUUAACUCAUCAUAUACCGUCUACGACUCCUUCUCCUACUCCAACUACACCUUCUCCUUGUCCUCCUUCUACAACACCUUCUCCUUGUACUACUUAUACGUGUCAGUCUACAUCUACUACCGUCAGAAAGAGUACGACCUUCUCCUCAAUCACUAAGUCUUUUACCCCUACUUUAACACCUGUCACUAAUACGAUAUAGACUACCUCUACAUCUAGAAGAUCUUCUAGUUUAUCUUCUCCACCAUUAUCUACAUUUUCCUUUCUUUCGACGUCUAUAACCUCGAAGAAGACUACUCCUUCUAGAAGUCUACGGUCUAAGACUACUCCUACUCGACUUCGUGUUGAAGUUAUGUAAGUCCGGUCUUCUAUACGUACUAGGAUACAAGUUUCAACCUGUCAAUAAGGUCAGUGGUCUCUACAAUUCCUUUCGGUAAUCCCUUAUAAAUUUAACAAUCACUCGAGUAUACACAUCAAUACGUUACGUCCAUGUAAAAUCUUCGUUCUCUCAACGGUUAGGAGAGAUACUAUCUGUCCUAAUUCCGUGUUGAUUGAUGAUCCUACCAAUGUUUUUUACUUCUCUACAACUCGACCUGUAGAGGUUAAACGGGUUUCUAAUUCUUUUCUGAUCUGUUCUUGUGUCUUAAUCGAUUGUGUACAAUACGACUUAAUCGACCUCUACCGUAUAUAAGAUACCUCCUGUCUCCCAUGUGUAUGUAACAACUCUAUUUACACCUCUCGACGUCGACAUCUUCCACCUUAAACUGUCCUUAUGGUACGGGAGUGAGUUAUCGUACGACGUCUUCUCUUUCUUUUAGUGGUUAACUCGAUCACGUGUUCACAAUGAGGUAACUUAGAAUGGUGUUCCGUAUGAGAGUAGAAUAACACGGAACGUCUCUAUCUUCUCUCGCCUGUUUCUACUUACCUACAGGAUAACGUGGUGGAGAAAUACACUUCUUCCAACCUUUAGGACCAGUAUUAUCCUCCUCCCGAGGACUUCUUCAACGUCUACCCUCUCCACCUUGGUCUUACUGUUCCGUACCACAUCAAUAGGUGACACCCGUGAUGUUUGAUGGACCUGUGUUAUCCUCAAGUACAAGACUAGAAUUUCGACCGUAUGGGGGUAUACAAGGACGGGGUUUCGUUGUACAGUCCUCUUCCUCUUCCCGUCUUGGUUGAUGACUUCUUCUAGUUCUCCGUCUUGGUUUACAAGUUCUUGUCGUUCUCCUUCGUGGUUUACAAGUUCUAGUCGUUCUCCGUGUUGUAUGUGUCCUACUCGUACAGUAUUGAGUCCUAUAGUUACUGGUUUAAGGAGAUAGAUAACACAUAUGAGUACUAUACGAGUUACUUUACUAAAAGGUCUCUGGAUACGGUUUCUGUUGAUGAUGAGGAUCCGGAAACGGUCUGACAAGAAAAUAAUGACGACGAUCUCUUCGGGAACCGUGUCCCUGUUGUUCGUGGAGUUGUUGUCGUCCUAUGGAACGAUGCUUCCGACGUCGAUACUCUUAACGUUUUCUUUUCCAGAAACGACGUGUCUCUCUACGUUGUGUUCUCGUUUCCAUACUCAGGGUACUCUUCGUUCGACGACUACACGAACGAUCUUCUCUUCGUCUCUUCCGUUUCUUUCUUCUUCUCUUCCGUUUCUUCUUUCGUCUUCGCGAUCGUUUCUUUCUUCUUCUCUUCCGUUUCUUCUCUCGUCUUCGUGAUCGUUUCUCUCUUCUUCUCUUCCGUUUCUUUCGUGUCUUUUACCGUCGUCUCUAUCUUCUUUUCUUCUUUCAACGUUAACGGUCCUCUCUUCGAGUAGAUGUUCGUUUCGAAUCCCUUCGUCUCCUCUUCUUCCGACGACGUGUUCGUUUCUCCCCACGAAGAUGAUAACAGGUUGUCUCGUUUUUUUGUGUUCCAGUUGUACAAACUACUUAAGUCUACUUACAAGUAGGAGAUCAGAAAUCAAGUAAUUCACAUCACUAGAAUUUUUGAUACUAGAAAUAAAACAACGAGUAGUUUGAUGACCACUAGAAUUAAAACAACGAGUCUACCUCGUAAAUCAACUUGAAGUAAGAUGAGAAUGGUUCACCUCAUACCUACAGUUGAAACAUUACGAAGACAUAACUUAGAACUAUACAUUACUUCGUUCAACUUAGACUGAUACGAUCACUACGAGCUUCCCUCAGCUCUGUUUUC